This 253-nucleotide ribosomal RNA is filed under the name uncultured bacterium. RNAcentral's name for it is "partial 16S ribosomal RNA". It matches the Rfam family "Bacterial small subunit ribosomal RNA", at positions 524 to 776 of the family's 1533-position model. The record is from RNAcentral.
UACGGAGGGUGCAAGCGUUAUCCGGAUUCACUGGGUUUAAAGGGUGCGUAGGCGGCAAUUCAAGUCAGCUGUGAAAUCUCCGGGCUUAACUCGGAACGGUCAGCUGAUACUGCUUUGCUAGAGUGCAGAAGGGGCAAUCGGAAUUCUUGGUGUAGCGGUGAAAUGCGUAGAUAUCAAGAGGAACACCUGAGGUGAAGACGGGUUGCUGGGCUGACACUGACGCUGAGGCGCGAAAGCUAGGGUAGCAAACGGG